AUACGGAGGAUCCGAGCGUUAUCCGGAUUUAUUGGGUUUAAAGGGAGCGUAGGUGGACAGUUAAGUCAGUUGUGAAAGUUUGCGGCUCAACCGUAAAAUUGCAGUUGAUACUGGCUGUCUUGAGUACAGUAGAGGUGGGCGGAAUUCGUGGUGUAGCGGUGAAAUGCUUAGAUAUCACGAUGAACUCCGAUUGCGAAGGCAUCUCACUGGACUGCAACUGACACUGAUGCUCUAAAGUGUGGGUAUCAAACAGGAUUAGAUACCCUGGUAGUCCACACAGUAAACGAUGAAUACUCGCUGUUUGCGAUAUACAGUAAGCGGCCAAGCGAAAGCAUUAAGUAUUCCCCCUGGGGAGUACGCCGGCAACGGUGAAACUCAAAUGAAUUGACGGGG
This 393-nucleotide ribosomal RNA is filed under the name uncultured bacterium. RNAcentral describes it as "partial 16S ribosomal RNA". It matches the Rfam family "Bacterial small subunit ribosomal RNA", at positions 523 to 918 of the family's 1533-position model. The record is from RNAcentral.